AAUUUGUGUAAAACCUGAUUUAGACGACGCGUUUACAAGCGACAGUUUGUCGCGCCUAAAUGCCAUACACUUCCAAACACUUGUUUCUGCCUUGUUUAAAUGAUGGCAUUUCCCUCUAGCAACAGCCAUGCAUAUAAGCACAACAGAGUCGCGAAGGAUUUGACAAGUUGAAUUUUUACGGCUGCAAAUGCAAGCAAGAAACCAAUCGGCUCUAUGCAGCUGUGUCAUGUGUUAAUUUCUUUGAAAAAUAUGGCGGCUGUUUGGUGUACCGAGUCGACGACUAUACUCCAUGUUAUCGUCGAGAAGAGUAUUCUAGUGACGUGCUCUUUCAUUGCGCAUGAUCACCACCGUUCAAGUCGCUUCCCACAGCAGUUGCGGCAAGCGACGAAUACGCUUGGUGUAAAUAUCUCAACAGCCGACAUCAGCACUCUACGCGCGACAAACUGUCACUUGUAGACGCGUUGUCUAAAUCGGGCUUAAGAUUUAGCGCUGCAAGGUCAAAUCAGUUUUUUUUAUCCAUAUUUUAUUUUAUUUUCUAGAAAUAUGUAAGUGCAC
Molecule: long non-coding RNA, 555 nt
Filed under: Androctonus crassicauda
Lineage: Eukaryota; Metazoa; Arthropoda; Arachnida; Scorpiones; Buthidae
Source: RNAcentral